GAUGAACGCUGGCGGCGUGCCUAAUACAUGCAAGUCGAGCGAACAGACGAGGAGCUUGCUCCUCGGACGGUAGCGGCGGACGAGUGAGUAACACGUGGAUAACCUACCUAUAAGACUUGGAUAACUUCGGGAAACCGGAGCGGAUACCGGAGAAUAUAUUGAACCUCAUGGUUCAAUAGUGAAAGACGGUUUUGCUGUCACUGAUAGAUGGAUCCGCGCCGCAUUAGCUAGUUGGUAAGGUAACGGCUUACCAAGGCGACGAUGCGUAGCCGACCUGAGAGGGUGAUCGGCCACACUGGAACUGCGACGCGGUCCAGACUACUACGGGAGGAAGCAGUAGGGAAUCUUACGCCAUGGGCGAAAGCCUGCCGGAGCAACGCCGCGUGGUUGAUGAAGGUCUUCGGAUCGUAAAACUCUGUUAUUAGGGAAGAACAAAUGUGUAAGUAACUAUGCACGUCUUGACGGUAGCUAAUCAGAAAGCCACGGCUAACUACGUG
This 497-nucleotide ribosomal RNA is filed under the name uncultured bacterium. Its description in RNAcentral is "partial 16S ribosomal RNA". It matches the Rfam family "Bacterial small subunit ribosomal RNA", at positions 28 to 507 of the family's 1533-position model. The record is from RNAcentral.